UCUUCUUCUUCUUUCUCUCGCCUUUCCCUUCCGGGACUGACGACGCAGUUGUCGAUGCUCGUAAAUAUUGUUUAGAAAAGAAGGCCCUGUUCGGGUGAUGGCAUGUUACACCUA
Molecule: non-coding RNA, 114 nt
Organism: Caenorhabditis elegans
Lineage: Eukaryota; Metazoa; Nematoda; Chromadorea; Rhabditida; Rhabditidae
Source: Ensembl